UACAGAGGUCCCAAGCGUUGUUCGGAUUCAUUGGGCGUAAAGGGUGCGUAGGCGGCGCGGUAAGUCGGGUGUGAAAUCUCGGGGCUUAACUCCGAAACUGCAUUCGAUACUGCCGUGCUUGAGGACUGGAGAGGAGACUGGAAUUUACGGUGUAGCGGUGAAAUGCGUAGAUAUCGUAAGGAAGACCAGUGGCGAAGGCGGGUCUCUGGACAAGUUCUGACGUGAGGACGAAGGCCAGGGAGCAAACGGG
Molecule: ribosomal RNA, 250 nt
Filed under: uncultured bacterium
Lineage: Bacteria
Description: partial 16S ribosomal RNA
Rfam family: Bacterial small subunit ribosomal RNA
Source: RNAcentral